AACCAAAGUGGAAGCCCUGAAUUUCCUUAGUGAUGGAUGAUGACAUCUUGGCAUGUGGUGGUUUGAAUAUGCUUGGUCCGAGGAGUGGCACUAUUAGGAGACAUGGUCUUGUUGGAAUCAUCUUGCAUAUCGCUCUUUGGCAAUGAUCAGGGACAUGGCAGAAGAAGAUUGGAAGGAGGACUUGUGAUUACCAUAGUUUUGACAUGGGCUGGUCACUAUGAAGACUGCUCAUGCCACAGGUGCAUUCACUCCAGGACACUUGGAAUUUGCUUCUCUGCACCAGAAAGAUCACUAAGUAGACAGGCACACUCCUGGAGAUGUGAUAGCUUCUGGCUACCAAUGUGUUGCCUACACACUGACUUCCUAGUGGCCCUUUGAGCCAUUUAUCAUCUGAACAACAAAUAAGACAGAAGAACUAACCUAGACUUGGGCGUGCUUGCAUGAAGAAACAGCCAGAGAGAUUCCUCUCUGCCAAGUUGGUGUUCAGUGUUUCUAUGUAUUGUAACCUAUUUAGUUUGCCUAGCAACAAGAUAAAGUAAAUAGUAUCACUGUUAUGAUGGUGUAAAUGAAAAGGAUUCAGUAGGAGACAGAAUGGGUCUAAGUCAACCUUAUGUCUUCAGAGACUAAUUCUGGAGAAGUCUCCCAGUUUUUUAGGAGAUACAUAAAAGAUUGUGUGACAUUUUAAUCUAAAAGCAUUAUUCCUAGACUCUCAAGGCAUCUCACUUUAUCUCAUCAACAUCUCACCGCCUCUUCUGUAUGCUCUGUAAUGUCUCCAGUAAUCCCACCAAAAGGCUAUGAGUACCAUGAUGAUAGUCUUUUCAUCCUGUUUUUGCCACCUGAAAAUGUCUACUCCCUUUCCUUGUGAAUCCAUAAGUGUUGCUCCUGUGAUUAUGUGAAUAAUCUUGUCACUUCCAGAAAUCCAUUAGGACAACGUCCACAAGUCAUGAGUUAAGAUGGACCAGUACACCCACCUGUCAUCAGAGCUCAUUUAUAAUGCUACAACUGUAUCACUAAACUUCAUGAUCCUGUUCUUAUACCAUGUGUAUCAUGAGUACCUUUAAUUGUGUGUAUAUUUUAAGGAAUACGUUUGUAUUCAUUAUUAAUGCUGCUUCCCUAUAGUGUGAUCACAUUUUUCACCAUGUGAAUCUCCAGAGUCUAAAUGUAAGAAUAAAGAUGACGCUGUCUCAGGACA
This 1192-nucleotide long non-coding RNA is filed under the name Mus spicilegus (steppe mouse). RNAcentral describes it as "lncRNA (ENSMSIG00000026333.1)". Lineage: Eukaryota; Metazoa; Chordata; Mammalia; Rodentia; Muridae. The record is from RNAcentral.